This 253-nucleotide ribosomal RNA is filed under the name uncultured bacterium. RNAcentral's name for it is "partial 16S ribosomal RNA". It matches the Rfam family "Bacterial small subunit ribosomal RNA", at positions 524 to 776 of the family's 1533-position model. The record is from RNAcentral.
UACGGAGGGGGCUAGCGUUGUCCGAAGUUGCUGGGCGUAAAGCGCGCGUAGGCGGGUUGGUAAGUCCGCUGUGAAAGCCCGGAGCUUAACUCCGGAGGGUCGGUGGAUACUGCCAGUCUUGAAGGUGCUAGGGGGAGAUGGAAUUACCGGUGUAGCGGUGAAAUGCGUAGAUAUCGGUAGGAACACCAGUGGCGAAGGCGGUCUCCUGGGGCAUUCUUGACGCUGAGGCGCGAAAGCUGGGGGAGCAAACGGG